UACAGAGGGUGCAAGCGUUAAUCGGAAUUAUUGGGCGUAAAGCGCAUGUAGGUGGGUAUUUAAGUCGGAUGUGAAAGCCCCGGGCUCAACCUGGGAAAGCCAUUCGAUACUGAAUAUCUAGAGUAUGGUAGAGGGAAGUGGAAUUUCCGGUGUAGCGGUGAAAUGCGUAGAUAUCGGAAAGAACACCAGUGGCGAAGGCGGCUUCCUGGAUCAAUACUGACACUAAAGUGCGAAAGCGUGGGGAGCAAACAGG
RNAcentral lists this ribosomal RNA (253 nucleotides) under uncultured bacterium. Its description in RNAcentral is "partial 16S ribosomal RNA". It matches the Rfam family "Bacterial small subunit ribosomal RNA", at positions 524 to 776 of the family's 1533-position model. The record is from RNAcentral.